This 1066-nucleotide small RNA is filed under the name Aspergillus intermedius. Its description in RNAcentral is "eukaryotic LSU rRNA". The stretch from base 470 to 1066 matches the Rfam family "Eukaryotic large subunit ribosomal RNA", at positions 1 to 601 of the family's 3401-position model. RNAcentral also lists the same sequence under 1 other name. The record is from RNAcentral. Lineage: Eukaryota; Fungi; Ascomycota; Eurotiomycetes; Eurotiales; Aspergillaceae.
UACCGAGUGCGGGCCCUCUGGGUCCAACCUCCCAUCCGUGUCUAUCUGUACCCUGUUGCUUCGGCGUGGCCACGGCCCGCCGGAGACUAACAUUUGAACGCUGUCUGAAGUUUGCAGUCUGAGUUUUUAGUUAAACAAUCGUUAAAACUUUCAACAACGGAUCUCUUGGUUCCGGCAUCGAUGAAGAACGCAGCGAAAUGCGAUAAUUAAUGUGAAUUGCAGAAUUCAGUGAAUCAUCGAGUCUUUGAACGCACAUUGCGCCCCCUGGUAUUCCGGGGGGCAUGCCUGUCCGAGCGUCAUUGCUGCCCUCAAGCACGGCUUGUGUGUUGGGCUUCCGUCCCUGGCAACGGGGACGGGCCCAAAAGGCAGUGGCGGCACCAUGUCUGGUCCUCGAGCGUAUGGGGCUUUGUCACCCGCUCCCGUAGGUCCAGCUGGCAGCUAGCCUCGCAACCAAUCUUUUUAACCAGGUUGACCUCGGAUCAGGUAGGGAUACCCGCUGAACUUAAGCAUAUCAAUAAGCGGAGGAAAAGAAACCAACCGGGAUUGCCUCAGUAACGGCGAGUGAAGCGGCAAGAGCUCAAAUUUGAAAUCUGGCCCCUCCGGGGUCCGAGUUGUAAUUUGUAGAGGAUGCUUCGGGUGCGGCCCCCGUCUAAGUGCCCUGGAACGGGCCAUCGGAGAGGGUGAGAAUCCCGUCUGGGACGGGGUGUCCGCGUCCAUGUGAAGCUCCUUCGACGAGUCGAGUUGUUUGGGAAUGCAGCUCUAAAUGGGUGGUAAAUUUCAUCUAAAGCUAAAUACUGGCCGGAGACCGAUAGCGCACAAGUAGAGUGAUCGAAAGAUGAAAAGCACUUUGAAAAGAGAGUUAAACAGCACGUGAAAUUGUUGAAAGGGAAGCGCUUGCGACCAGACUCGCUUCCGGGGUUCAGCCGGCUUUCGGGCCGGUGUACUUCCCCGGGGGCGGGCCAGCGUCGGUUUGGGCGGCCGGUCAAAGGCCCCUGGAAUGUAACGCCUCUCGGGGCGCCUUAUAGCCAGGGGUGUCAUGCGGCCAGCCUGGACCGAGGAACGCGCU